CCGGAUUUAUUGGGUUUAAAGGGUGCGUAGGUGGUCUUUUAAGUCAGCGGUGAAAGUUUGUGGCUCAACCAUAAAAUUGCCAUUGAAACUGGGAGACUUGAGUAUGUUUGAGGUAGGCGGAAUGCGUGGUGUAGCGGUGAAAUGCAUAGAUAUCACGCAGAACUCCGAUUGCGAAGGCAGCUUGCCAAGCCAUAACUGACACUGAAGCACGAAAGCGUGGGUAUCAAACAGGAUUAGAUACCCUGGUAGUCCACGCAGUAAACGAUGAUUACUAGGAGUUUGCGAUAUAAUGUAAGCUCUACAGCGAAAGCGUUAAGUAAUCCACCUGGGGAGUACGCCGGCAACGGUGAAACUCAAAGGAAUUGACGGGGGCCCGCACAAGCGGAGGAACAUGUGGUUUAAUUCGAUGAUACGCGAGGAACCUUACCCGGGUUUGAACGCAGUCUGACCGCCGAUGAAAGUCGGUUUCUAGCAAUAGCGGAUUGCGAGGUGCUGCAUGGUUGUCGUCAGCUCGUACCGUGAGGUGUCGGCUUAAGUGCCAUAACGAGCGCAACCCUUGCCGUUAGUUACUAACAAGUAAAGUUGAGGACUCUAGCGGGACUGCCAGCGUAAGCUGUGAGGAAGGCGGGGAUGACGUCAAAUCAGCACGGCCCUUACAUCCGGGGCGACACACGUGUUACAAUGGCGUGGACAAAGAGCAGCCACCUGGUGACAGGAGCUAAUCUCCAAACCACGUCUCAGUUCGGAUCGGAGUCUGCAACUCGACU
RNAcentral lists this ribosomal RNA (767 nucleotides) under human gut metagenome. RNAcentral's name for it is "bacterial SSU rRNA". It matches the Rfam family "Bacterial small subunit ribosomal RNA", at positions 545 to 1317 of the family's 1533-position model. The record is from RNAcentral.